This 411-nucleotide ribosomal RNA is filed under the name uncultured bacterium. Its description in RNAcentral is "bacterial SSU rRNA". It matches the Rfam family "Bacterial small subunit ribosomal RNA", at positions 958 to 1392 of the family's 1533-position model. The record is from RNAcentral.
AACGCGAAGAACCUUACCCACCUUUUAAAUCCAGAGAAUCUCUGAGAGAUAGUAAGUGCCUUCGGGAACUCUGAGACAGGUGCGGCAUGGCUGUCUUCAGCUCGUGUCGUGAGAUGUUGGGUUAAGUCCCGCAACGAGCGCAACCCUCCUCCUUAGUUGCCAACGGGUGAUGGGGGGAACUCUAGGGAGACUGCCGGUGAUAAACCGGAGGAAGGUGGGGACGACGUCAAGUCAUCAUGGCCCUUAUGGGUAGGGCUACACACUUGCUACAAUGGCCGGUACAGAGGGCAACCCCGAGAGCGGGAGCAAAUCCCAAAAACCGGUCUCAGUUCGGAUUGCAGUCUGCAACUCGACUCCAUGAAGUGGGAAUCGCUAGUAAUCGCGAUCAGCACCCGGGUCUUGUACACACCG